ACACCCAGGCACAGCGGAUAGCUCCAAGGAUCCCAGGCAAAGCGAGAAGCUCAAUAGUCUCGGGUUCAGCACUAGGAAGAGCGGACAGCUCCUUGCACGGGAGCUGCAGGCUAGAGCGAACGCUAUAGUCAGGCACAGGUCACGGUGGACAGCUCCUCGGCUACUGUUUCAGCACUAGGAAGGGUGGACAGCUCCCUUAUAAGUUUCUAGUUCAGCGCCGCGGUGCGCCGACCCCUUUGAACCAGGAGAAAAAACCUAAGAGCACUGUUCCGGCGCCGGCAGCAUCCGGGACCUUGUUGUAUCAGCAGCCAGUUCGCGGGACUUGAGUGAUAACAUUCAGAUAUGUAAAUGCUCCGGAUAUUUCCCGGGACCUGGCACCAUAUCCCUUGCCUGCCUGAAGGGCGUUGUCUUGCCGUGACCUCCCUGGUUUAAUUAACUUGGAAGGGUAGUCUAUUAAUCCCAGAGGUUGCUCUCCAUCCCGUCAUCUGCCAAGGAUUUUCCGAAUCCAUGGAGAUAAUAGAUCCUGUUGGGAGCUGAAAGGAGACAGGAAUCUGUGCAAACCCCACUGUAAAAGCAGAGGGAUUCAAGUUCCAGAAUCCAUCACUUCAUAAUGGUUGGCGUGCACUGUGAGCCUAAGGGGACAGGGGUACAGAACUGGUCCAAGUGAGCAACAGCAGAUUAUCAUCCAAUAUGUUGAAUCAGGGCUCAAGCCAACCCUAAAGAAAAUAUAAACUGGGACCUCAUUCUAGAAUAUCAGUCGUUAUUUCCUACACAUUAUCCCUGGC
Molecule: long non-coding RNA, 785 nt
Organism: Xenopus laevis (African clawed frog)
Lineage: Eukaryota; Metazoa; Chordata; Amphibia; Anura; Pipidae
Exons: 3
Source: RefSeq, a predicted model, not a curated record